This 450-nucleotide ribosomal RNA is filed under the name Triticum aestivum (bread wheat). Its description in RNAcentral is "partial small subunit ribosomal RNA". Lineage: Eukaryota; Viridiplantae; Streptophyta; Magnoliopsida; Poales; Poaceae. The record is from RNAcentral.
AUGUUCCAUGAGCAAAACCUUGGAAGGAUUCAAGACAAGCAUGCAUAUGAGGAUGAGGUUGCCAAGUUGAAGAAGGACUAUGAUCUGCUCUGCACUGAGUAUCAUAAAAUGGUUGAUGAUGUUAGCAAGAUGUUUGACUGGCAGGAUGGUGUUGGCAAGAUUGACUACCAAAAAGCAAUGGAUGCUGAGAAAUUUGAGAAGCAGAAGGAAGAGCUUGAGCUGGAGAUGAAGAUGGAGAAGCUAAGGCUAGCAAAAGAACAGAGAUGUAUCCUUCAGGCCCAGGCAGACAUAAUUCACAACACCAGGAAGGCAAUGAAAGAGAUAAAGGUGGACAGGGAUCUUCUUGCACAAGAGAAGACAGAGCUUGAGAAAGUAGUUGCUGAUCUGCUGAAUGCUGGCCAUGGGAGCAAGGAAAAGCUUGAGAAAAUCAAGGCCAUACUGGAGGCUUGA